GGCUGAAUUCAGGCAUGGGCGAAGAAGUGAAAAUUAACGGUUACGAUAACGGCAGCGGCAGCGGCAGCGGUGAUGACGACAGAGUAUCCGAUUGGGAAGCCGGAUUACCUGGCAUCGAUGAUUUGACUCCCUUAUCUCAGGCGUUGAUUCCGCCGGAUCUUGCUUCGGCCUUCAGAAUCACCCCGGAACCUUCCCGGAGCAUGCUCGACGUCAACCGUGAGUCUCAGAAAAUUUUAGCCUCCCUCUGCGGCGGAGCCAGCGGCGGCAGUAGUCAUCACUCUCAAGCCUUAUCUUCGUCGAAUAAUUUCAAAUCAUUCCACGAUGGAACCACCAUCACCGGCAACCGGACCCACCGGGACAACAUGAUUAUUGAUAUUGACGAAACCACCGAUCUGACCCGAGAAGGCUCCGAUUCCAGGAAGACCCGAAGAUUAAUGGAAUCCCCGACUGAAGAAGCUGAUUCCUCAGCUGCCGGGAAAAAUAGUUGUACUAAUAAUAAUGAGAAUUGCGGGGAGGAUGUUUCUGCCCGGACUUUGAAGAGGCCGAGGCUGGUGUGGACUCCGCAAUUGCACAAGCGGUUCGUCGACGUCGUGGCUCAUUUAGGGAUCAAAAAUGCUGUCCCAAAAACAAUUAUGCAGCUGAUGAACGUGGAAGGAUUAACGAGAGAAAAUGUUGCCAGUCAUUUGCAAAAAUAUCGCCUUUAUUUGAAGAGAAUGCAAGGUUUGUCGACGGAGGGCCCGUCCUCGUCGGAUCAUUUGUUCGCCUCGACUCCGGUGCCGCCGAGCUUGCAUGACUCUACCUGUGGUGGCAGCGGCGGAGCUGCAACCGGGCAUGGACAUGGACAUGGGAAUAGUAAUGGGCAUGUUGGUAUGCCGAUUCCGAUGCCUUAUCCGCCUCCGGCGGGGGCACAGAUGGUUUCGGUGCCGAUGAUGGGAAUGCCGGGGCCGACCCCGGGCGGUUAUCAUGGGUAUGAAUCUCAUCAUCAUCAUCACCACCAUCACCAUCAGUAUGGUAUGGUACAACAGCAGAGGGACUGGGCUGGGAAUAAAUUUGCGACUUUGGCGCCAUAUCAUCACCAUGUUGCUCCUAAUGAUAAAUAACUUUUUCAAGUCUUUUGAUGUGCCGAGGAGUAGUAGAAAGGAUAGCUUGAGCAUGGACCCUUCAGAUGUUGGUGAAGUUUCAAUGAAACCAUUGGAAACAGUUUCAGAUGUAACCAGUGACAUUCUGCACCCAUAUGUUAGCUAGGCAGCAGAAAGACUACGGCUCGAAAUCUAGUGGUGAUACAUUAAGUGGAAGUUGGUCUCAGGAUAAUAUCAUCUACCUGCUGCAACUUGUUAGUAUAUUCUUAGCCUGUUCAUUAUUGAUAAUAGUAUUUUCUUAUGUAUUAAUGACUGCUGAAUGUUCCUCUACAGCAACCAGAUCACAAAUAAAUAAUAGAAUUAGUCAAACAUUUGCCAGCAGCUCUUGCCCAUUGUUGGACUAUAAAGGUGGACUGUUUUCAGUACAGCUAGGGAACAAUGAGAUACUGUCUACAUCACUAGGCUGUAGCGUAAUGCAUGGAUACAUGACUCUGAUUUCUUUCCCUGGAUGUGUUUAAACUUGUGCAUUUCGGCAAGUGAAGUGAACUAAAGCCAUAUAGCUGCAGCUUGCAAUAUAUGUGUUGUUUUGCAAUCAUCUUCUUGACGUAUAUUGUUUCUUUUAAAGAGCUGGAGAUCAGUGCAGAUUUUCCCAAAUGUUGGAUUUUCUGUGUUAUAGUCAUCAUGUAAUAAUCA
Molecule: RNA transcript, 1772 nt
Organism: Coffea eugenioides
Lineage: Eukaryota; Viridiplantae; Streptophyta; Magnoliopsida; Gentianales; Rubiaceae
Gene name: transcription factor LUX
Exons: 3
Source: RefSeq, a predicted model, not a curated record